UGCAUCUCAGACCGCGCAUCUUCCGUCCUC
This 30-nucleotide non-coding RNA is filed under the name Homo sapiens (human). The record is from RNAcentral. Lineage: Eukaryota; Metazoa; Chordata; Mammalia; Primates; Hominidae.